Molecule: ribosomal RNA, 303 nt
Filed under: uncultured bacterium
Lineage: Bacteria
Description: bacterial SSU rRNA
Rfam family: Bacterial small subunit ribosomal RNA
Source: RNAcentral
UGGGGAAUCUUCCGCAAUGGGCGAAAGCCUGACGGAGCAAUGCCGCGUGAGUGAAGAAGGCCUUCGGGUUGUAAAACUCUGUCCUUAUCGAAGAGAGGUAGGUAUGUGAAUAAUGUACCUAUAGGACGGUAGAUAAGGAGGAAGCCCCGGCUAACUACGUGCCAGCAGCCGCGGUAAUACGUAGGGGGCGAGCGUUGUCCGGAAUCACUGGGCGUAAAGGGCGCGUAGGCGGUUUAAUAAGUCAGUGGUGAAAACUGAGGGCUCAACUCUCAGCCUGCCACUGAUACUGUUAGACUUGAGUAU